Molecule: long non-coding RNA, 2480 nt
Filed under: Triticum aestivum (bread wheat)
Lineage: Eukaryota; Viridiplantae; Streptophyta; Magnoliopsida; Poales; Poaceae
Description: long non-coding RNA (TAES_LNC017513)
Source: RNAcentral
GGGAGGAACAAAUCAUAUAUUAGAUAAAUAUGUUGGAUUACAAUAGUGGAUAUUACAGGAGGAACAUCAUCGAGAUGUGAUGCAUAAUCCAACUAUUUUCCUGACAGCAAAAGUUAAACUGAAAGCAUCCAUCAACAUCCGUACAACUUAACUAAAACAUAACCGAAGAACAUCGUCCCUACAACUUAACUAAAACUCUAAGCAUCCAUCUUCUCAUCAUGAUCAGGAACAUCAUCAUCUUCAUUGCAGUAUACUUGCCAGGCACCCAUAUAAUCAUCCAUUUAUCUUUUGAAUCUACAAACACAAAAACAAAAUGAAUUGUUAACACAGAAUGCAUUGACAUGAUGCAAGUAGUGAUAGAGGCAGGAUAUUAGUCACGUACAAAGGUUGAAGGCCAUGCAAUCUUUGUUUUGUCUGCAUUACCGAGAGUAAUGCAGUUUGCAACUCCGUACCAAAUGGCAAGUCUUCACAAGUGCCAUAUCGACAUGCACUUCCCAGAAUUCAUUUGUAAGUUCAACACCAUCAAGUUUAAAUUUAAGAACACAACUUACAACUGUAGCAAGAGAUAUGUCUCCGUUAUGCUUUUCCAGGCUUUUUCAAGAAUACUUUAGUUCAUGCAUGUUAGAGAGAAUCAAAGUUAUCAAUGGAUCAAAAGGAAAGAACUCGUAAAGGAAUUACAAAACUUUCAUAAAUGCUGUUAUAGUCCCUCCAUAUGGAAGAUGAAAUGAGAAUAGUCCUAAGUAAGGCUGCUGAAACUACACAAUCAAAAUUCUGUUUGUACCUCGAUCAAACACCAACAUAUUGGAAACGCCAGAUUAUUGAGGUCGAUCACCAACGAACAAUUAUGUAGCUCCAUCUUAAAAAACAAUAUCGACAUAAAUCUGACAAGUAGAUUAAAUUCAGUUAAAUUCCCUUAUAAUAUUGCAACAUCAGUGAAAUGUUAACAGUUGCAUAAUUGCAUGAAGAAAGCAAUUGGUGUAAAUGGUGUAUAUGCAUGUUCUGAUCGAAUAUAAACCUGUAGGCAAUGCUCUUAUGCUUACUCCUAUUUUUAUAUAUUGGACCGAUUCAAUAAUAUGUCCAGAUCACAAUCCAACAAUCCAAAUGCUGAUCCAUUAAUAGUAUGCACCAAAUAACUCACCCGUUGAUCAGGAAGUAUCAUCCAAAUAUGAAUCCUUGGCAUUAAAACUGAUGAAGAAUGAACCUGAACUCCUGCACCUAACUUUGGAGGGGCCAGAGUUUGGUCAGGGCUACACACACAACCAUAUCAGCCCACAUCAUAAGUGCAACCAGGACUCAAUUCUUGAGUCAUCCAAUAAUCGAGAAGAUUGUUUGAAUCGAAGAGCAGGAACACGGACAACAAUAAAACCUACUGCCAAACAACACAAUAAACCUCUUGUUGACACCAUAUCCACUGACGCUGUAUAAGCCACCUGAAAAACAUUUGCCAGCGCUUAGAUGGAUUAGGAGUCUUGUUUAUAAAAGUCAGAUAAUUCACAAAGUGUGUGAAGGUUCAAAUUCAUUUUCUUCUAGUGUAUCAACCAUAACUACAAUAGCAUGAAUCUCGACUCUUUUUUUUGCCAUGGAAUUCUGGACUUUUUUCAGUAUGCCCAAAUUGUAAACGAAAUUAAACACCACAAAACAAAAAUAGACAUGGAAACAAACUUAAUCCGAUGAAAAGAGGGCUAAGCCGGUUGUUUGAGACCUGUUGUGUGAGAACACAUGCCUAUGCGUCACGUUUAUGUUUCAAAGAAAGUCGUCACACAAUCAGAAUCUCCCAUAGUAAUUAUCUCGCAAUUGGAUCCCUAGCAGAAUUAAUCUCAUCCUUGGUCUCUCUGCUCUUCACGAUCAAUGAUAGGAUAUACAGCUGGGCAAAAGGAGAAUCUGAGCAUGUUCAUGGUCGUACGUUGGAUUCACCGUUGUUGCAGGGGAGCGGUGACGAGGGGCAGCGCGCUGGGAUGCAGGGUCACAGGGGAGCGGUAACGACGGGUAGCGCGUCGGGAUGCAGGGUGAUAGGGGAGUGUUGAAGAAGGGCGGCGUGUCGUACCUUGGAUUCACCGUUGGUCGCGUGCAGGGGAGCAGUGACGAGGGAUGGCGUGCCGGGAUGCAGGGUCGCCGGGGAGUGGAGAUGAGGGACGGCGCGCCUGGAUGGAGGUUCGCAGGGGAGUGUUGAGGGGCGGCGCGCCUGGACAGAGGUUCUCAGGGGAGUGGUGAGGGACGGCACGCCGGGAGAGAGGAUCGCAGGGGAGUGCUCAUGUGCGGCAACUGACGAGGGGCGGCGGCCGGCGUGGGAGGUUAGGAGAGGAACAGGGGAGGCUGGGGACUGGGAACGACCUAAGAUUAUCCUUAAAGCCAACUUGGGCUGGGCUAGACAAGAGGCUACAUGGGGCUUUACUUGGAGUUGUGGCCGGUUCCAAUCUAUGUACUAAAAUGGGGUCACCUGUUACAAGUCUGCAACGCAUAUGCUACAAUGCUUAUAUGCG